GACGAACGCUGGCGGCGUGCUUAACACAUGCAAGUCGAACGGAAAGGCCCUGCUUUUGUGGGGUGCUCGAGUGGCGAACGGGUGAGUAACACGUGAGUAACCUGCCCUUGACUUUGGGAUAACUUCAGGAAACUGGGGCUAAUACCGGAUAGGAGCUCCUGCUGCAUGGUGGGGGUUGGAAAGUUUCGGCGGUUGGGGAUUGACUCGCGGCUUAUCAGCUUGUUGGUGGGGUAGUGGCUUACCAAGGCUUUGACGGGUAGCCGGCCUGUGAGGGUGACCGGCCACAUUGGGACUGAGAUACGGCCCAGACUCCUACGGGAGGCAGCAGUGGGGAAUAUUGCACAAUGGGCGGAAGCCUGAUGCAGCAACGCCGCGUGCGGGAUGACGGCCUUCGGGUUGUAAACCGCUUUCGCCUGUGACGAAGCGUGAGUGACGGUAAUGGGUAAAGAAGCACCGGCUAACUACGUG
RNAcentral lists this ribosomal RNA (468 nucleotides) under uncultured bacterium. RNAcentral describes it as "partial 16S ribosomal RNA". It matches the Rfam family "Bacterial small subunit ribosomal RNA", at positions 28 to 507 of the family's 1533-position model. The record is from RNAcentral.